GGCGUUUGCGCCCGAAAUUUCUCCCUUUGCCUAGGUACCAUGGAGGAGCAGUUUCUUUGCUCGUUCUGUCCCUAGGCGUGCCUGGCGUGGCGGCAUUUUGCCAUGUGUCGGCUGGCGUUCCGUGCGUCGUGUACAAGUUUUCCUCGUGCGUCUCCUUGGGUGUUGCUGGCACAGUGCACUGGCGCGAACGAUUGUUGUCGUUUCGUCAGUGGUCUCCCGUGAAGAACCUGUCACCACAAAAGUGAAUUGACGUCAGUGCAAAGAUUUAAAGGAUACAACAUUUCCUGGGAGUGUUCUCAGCCUAGGUUGUGAAAGACUGCUUUAAACUCAUGGGGACAACUGAGAGUGACAAGAGGCAUUAUUUUGUUGAGACUUUUAAAUCAUCAUGAUGUCGAUGGCACUGUCUACAAAACUAUCACCACUGGAUUGCCCCUCUUCAGCGGGCAAGACAGCAGCAGCACCAAUAGAGAUCGUGCUGUCGAGGACCAGAUUCAUCGACGCAGGGUCUGAGCAUGCACUGCAUCAGGCCUAUCUACUGGUACCUCUGGCUGUCUGCCCUGCUGGCUUCAUUGGACGAAACAAGUCGCAGGAAGCUGUACCACGUGCACUGCACUGGGACCAUCUGACCAGCACGGUGACGUCGACGGAGACACCAUGGCACCCGGAUAAAAGCAGCAGCCUUUUCGACGUUACCUUCAGUGGACUUGGAAGCACUGAACGAGUACGGAUGCUGAUCAAAUUUUUUCUGAUCGCACAGAGUUCAUCACAUGUGCAUGUGCAACACAUUGGCGGAGGCAAUACGAACUGCAUUUCUCUCUAGCUGGACAAGUCGGAAUGGCAAUGCACCUUGGAGAACAAGACUCGAAUUGUGAAAGUCUGGUGAAAUAAUCUUUUAAACUGGUUUAUUAUUAGAGGAGACAGCAGAAAUUGAAUGCCCUCUUACCACACCACCAUGAGGUGAGCAUGACUGCCAACAGAGAGACACUCUGCCUCGAGUAGCCUCCGCGAGAGACGUUCCUUCCUCGCCUUGUCACAUACAUGAGCCAAAGAACCACAUCGGGUUCACGUGACUAGCACCACCCGCUUUUUUUUUUCUUAUCCGGUUUUGUUGCAUGGCACAUUUUCCACCGUGGCAUUGCGCAUUCUGAAUUGGGCGAUUUACCUAAGUAAUGCGUCAUGGCGAGCGACACUUUUAAGACUAUUUUAUUUGUGUUGCCUUGACUCUGGCUGGGUGUGGCGCUUUCUCGAGAGGGAGGAAAGUGGUGUUUCAUUUGAAAUUUCAGCGGUCUGUGUGACAUGCACAGAUUUGUCAUGAAUACCCGUGUCAUGUGCUGUAAACUUAAGAACAGCAUUAAAUACAUUCUCUUAGUGGUGAAUGCAACCCAUACUUAUCUUUUGCGCACAAAGAAAAUGUGAACAGUGUACAGUGCUCCCACUUCUGCGUCAGUCUGAUAAAAAGGCCAACAAAGAGUGAUACUGCACUAAAUCAAGUAUCUUGAAAUUGGGAGACAUACUAGGGAUGCUUCUGCAGCAGACAUGAUUGGCCAGAGAGGUUAACAAUGUACAGCUGCUUGCAGUGACCAAAUGCACAGCACCAUCAGUUUUGUGCCAUGCUAUAGUUCUAUCAAAACCGCCUAAAAUUCUUGCAGCUUUUUAGGAAAGGAUUAGUGGCACAUAACACUGUGCCUAUUUUUCCUGUUUUUUGAAUGUAUAUUUUGCUCCCACGUAGCUGAUGCGACUCAAAGGUUUAUAGUCCUGAAAGCUUGUUUGCUUUGUUAUGAAUGUUACCAAAAACUUACGUGUGCAAGCUUACCCCUGCCCACACUAACGCAGACCCAGUGAGUUUAUUUGGUAUGGAAAGCUAAAACAAUGUAGUGGCUGCACUAUUGUUAUGAAUCUGUCGUAAUGAUAGAUGUUGCUGAUUUUAUGAAGUGCUUGUUUUCAUCACUCAGGAUAUCACCCAAAAUGCUAGGAGGCAAAAAAAAAUGUAUAUAAUGUUCACAAGAUAUGGUUGAGUAGAGGCUGGGUGGUGGCAGCCGUUUGAGGGAACGAGCUCGCCUGCGGAUCUUGCGACCACAAGAGGUUCAAGUAGAUUUUAUCGCAUUAAAGUGCAACAAGUGACUAGAAAAAAAAAGCCUGGGCAUGUCAUCAAAAGAUACCGUUGGGAACAAAAGUCUAUGGAUCUACACGCACCAUGAAAUACCCAAAUUUCUUUUCUUACUUGCCAUGUUGGCGUACACUGGUCCACAGUAAAGUUGCAGAAUGGGGCGGGCCCUCCGUUUCAUUCCUACUUGACAAAGUUGAGAUUUCUUAAUUCCACUCUUUUUAACUCCCCGGAAUGCCAAGAGUUGUACUAUUUCUCCAACUUUAAAUGAAAUUUUUACUAUAGUUGUUUACUAGUUGUGCCUUUCAACAAAAAACUUAUUUUUGAAGUUCUGACAACAUUGCAGAUAAUGUUAUGCUUCUUUAACGAGAACAUAUUCGCUCUGUGACCUUUUAUUUUUGCAGUGCGUUGCUAGCUGUAUAAUCUCUCUCAUAUCUACUCUUUUUGACAGUACAUGCAUGUUACCUGCGCAAGUGUAAUUCAUGAAUAAAUAAUGUGAUUGCAGAAUAUAUUCAGUAAUGUUAAUCUAUAAUGGCAUCAAUUGGGCAGAUUUAGUUGGAAUGGAACUGGCACAGUCCUGUAGUGCUAAACCUUCACUAGAAUAAGACUGCAAAAACAGGUAUCCUUGCCAAUUACUCUAAACUAGACUAGGCCGAAUUUUUUUACAUUUAUAAGUUUUUACUGAAUACUGGCUCUUUCAGUAUCUACCUAUAGGUCGCUAUCUCUGCCGUGGUACUUACCAACAAAAUGGUAUUCUACUUAUUGUGAAAUUCUGAAGUCCUGGAGACUGUUCCAAUGACGAGCUUUAAUUGCACUUAAACACUAACCUUUAGUUGCCAAGAAUGAUUCUAUUUAGCAAGAACAUGCUUGGACUAUGACACAAGGAUGGAGGCCAAAAAAGUUACUGCCAUUCCACUGCUGUGAAGCGGGGUGCAAGCGAAGCUUGGGAUCUGCUGCUCUUUGUAACGCCUCACGGCGAGAGCGGCACAUCAACGUCGACCCCUUUCUCGAAUGAGUUCCCGGUGGCAUCAAUCAAACAUUGCCUGUUCUUUGGCCAAACGCACAACACGUGGCCUGCUCCCACUGCCAUUCCUUCAAUGCAGCCUGCUCUUUGGCAGAACAGACCAAACGCGGCCUCCCCAUCUGACUGCUGGGUCUGAACUGGUGUCAGGCGAGCAAACACGCGAACACACCCUUUCCCUCCUCUGGAGGAAGGGGACGCCCGUGAUUGGCUCAUGCCAUGCGCUGCUUCUACUUACCCACCUUAAAGGCAGCGUUUGAUGAACUGACGGUGGCUGAAUCGGUUAGCGUGGUGGUCUCGCAAUCCGGAGGUCGGUGGUUCAAAUCCGCAGCCUGAUAAGCAAUUUCUAUUUUUGUGCAGCUUGGGUUUUUUCGCGCGGUAACACCGACACCAGUGAGGCAAUACAAGCUUCUGUUAAAAAGGUCGCAAGUGGUUGCAUCUUAUGCCCGUUCCUGUUGAUGUGGACAUUCAGUGUUAUUUUUCACUGUCAGAAGUAUCCUCGAAGAAAAAAGGGGAGGGGGUCA
Molecule: non-coding RNA, 3649 nt
Organism: Dermacentor albipictus
Lineage: Eukaryota; Metazoa; Arthropoda; Arachnida; Ixodida; Ixodidae
Source: RefSeq, a predicted model, not a curated record